GGGGAAUAUUGCACAAUGGGCGCAAGCCUGAUGCAGCGACGCCGCGUGAGGGAUGAAGGCCUUCGGGUUGUAAACCUCUUUCGUCAGGGAACAAGGCACUGCUUUUGGUGGUGUUGAGGGUACCUGGAUAAGAAGCGCCGGCUAACUACGUGCCAGCAGCCGCGGUAAUACGUAGGUGGCAAGCGUUGUCCGGAAUUAUUGGGCGUAAAGCGCGCGCAGGCGGAUUGGUCAGUCUGUCUUAAAAGUUCGGGGCUUAACUCCGUGAUGGGAUGGAAACUGCCAAUCUAGAGUAUCGGAGAGGAAAGUGGAAUUCCUAGUGUAGCGGUGAAAUGCGUAGAUAUUAGGAAGAACACCAGUGGCGAAGGCGACUUUCUGGACGAAAACUGACGCUGAGGCGCGAAAGCCAGGGGAGCGAACGGGAUUAGAUACCCCGGUAGUCCUGGCCGUAAACGAUGGGUACUAGGUGUAGGAGGUAUCGACCCCUUCUGUGCCGGAGUUAACGCAAUAAGUACCCCGCCUGGGGAGUACGACCGCAAGGUUG
Molecule: ribosomal RNA, 541 nt
Filed under: uncultured bacterium
Lineage: Bacteria
Description: bacterial SSU rRNA
Rfam family: Bacterial small subunit ribosomal RNA
Source: RNAcentral